RNAcentral lists this long non-coding RNA (3612 nucleotides) under Cricetulus griseus (Chinese hamster). Its description in RNAcentral is "lncRNA (ENSCGRG00000024575.1)". The record is from RNAcentral. Lineage: Eukaryota; Metazoa; Chordata; Mammalia; Rodentia; Cricetidae.
CCACACUACCAGUGACCUGAGCAUAAUGAUCUAUGCUAUGGUUAACAGUCUCUACUAUACACUUGAACACUGUGGCAUGGCCAAAAUGCUCUGAACAUUUCUACACAUCUACUUUUAGUAUGUGUUUUUCUCUCUUGAACAAAUUGCAGAUCACACCAUUCCAGAUCACAAUUUGGAUAGUCCUGAUAGAAGGACUGGCCUCAUCCCAACUCCUGUCAUCUCUAUUUCAGCUACCUGUGGUUUUGUGGUUUUUUUGUUUGUUUGUUUUUUAACAAACCUCAUCAUAUUUGUCAUAUAACAGCUAACAUAUUCAAAUAAGUCUUUGCCCCUAAAAUGUGUUUCUAUUAGGGUGAACAGUGUGUUUCCUUUCUGACUACCUGAGCAAUGUUCCAUGUGCACAGUGCCAUGUCAUCUGAGACUGAAUUCCUGGUUACUUAGUAGUGAUAAAGCCAUGUAGCUAACUACCGGUCUCCCCUACCCCAUUCCACACACAUCGCUUCUUUUCUCACUGUAAGCUACCAAAAAUAAUCCAAACAUGGUGUUCAAUUCCACUGCAACAAUUGUCCAUUAGUGAUUAAUGAGUAAAAUCACUGACUCUGAUAAAAGAACACAAGACAGAUAAAGACCUGAAGACAGCCAGGCUUUAGAAAGCCUGGAGGAAGAGGAAUCCAUAAAGAGAUCAAAGGCAAGCUGAGCAUGCAAGCUCUAAAGCAAUAGGUAAAGGGGAAGGAAGAGGAAAGAAUGAGAUUCAAAACCAAGACUUAACAAUUUCAAGAAAGGCUGAUAGACUCCACAGAAGCUGACAACUGGAGAAGGCAAGCUAGCAGGGGUGAGUACCUUGAGGAGUUAAUGGAUAACUGUGACUUCAUUUGGGCUGUGUAACAGAAGAGGAAGAAAGACAAAAGAGCUCACAAAACAGAAGCGGCUGCUGCUUGUGUUUUUCUUUUCCUAGUGGACAGUCUUGCUUACAUGUGGAAAGGGAAUUUGAAAAAGACAGUAAUUCAUAGAGCAAGACCUGGAAGCAGAAAGCAAAUGCCAGCUAAGAAUAGGAAUGAAGAUUCAGGUGAGAUGAGGCUGGAGUGGUACCCUGAAUUUGCCAGGACAAGGCCAGGAGAGGUGUGUGGAGGGGGUGGGGCAGGGACAAGCAUUCCGUGGUUGAGUGGUGGAGGCAGAAAUGAAGGCUCAGAUAAACUGUCUGAGGGACUGGAGGUUGUUUGUGUGCUGUCAGUUGAGAAGGAAUCCACUUUUCUAGAUUGGAGAUUUUUUGCCUUUGUGGUUGCAACAGCUUCACCCCUUUCUCCACUCUUACUUUUAAAUACCCCAUACUUCCAGGCUCUUCCUAAAUGAAGAAUAAAGACUUGACUGACAUUUCUUCUCAGCACAUGACCAAAGCUCCUUUUGAAAAAUCUCAAAAUAACACAGGAAAUACUGAAGGGCUAAUGGCUCUGACUCCUACGGCUAAGUUACCCUUACAGAGGAAAGAAAAAUUAAGUGGAUCAGUGUGUGUGGUAAAACUCUUAAGACAUUCUUAAUGAAGUAUAGUUUGUCUACCAGGUGAACACAGCAUUCUGAAACAUGUUUUGGUAAACCAGAGGAGUUAAAAAAUGUGGAUCAGGAAGGCACGGUAUAGCACCAUGGCGACGUCUCAAGGAAAUGGGCUUUCAAAGCAUCGAUUGUGCAAGGGCAGCUGAGUCACAGAGGAAAUUAUGAGCCUGAAUCCUGUUAAGACAUCACUGGUUCCAAUAAAUACUCUGGUCUUCUUCCAUCUCUUCCAGCACAUCUGUGUGGUCUUCUUGGUUGGAGGGUCAUACAGCUGCCCAUGAGUAACCACCACUAAUCUUUCCUGUUGUUGAUUUUAGCUUUCACUUAAUUAAUAAUCCAUGUUGCGUCCUUGCCUUUCAUUCACUUUGGCUUAUUACAAAACCUGAUAAGACACUGGUCGCAUAGCUUACAACUUCCGGAUCUUGCCUUCCAUUCAAUUAGCCUGGCUGCCAUUAUUCCUAGCUGCAGGUAGCUGAGAGCGUCAGUAUAGUCUGAAGAGUAGAAGAGUACUAAAUGUUUUCCAGUGUGGCUUUUGAUGUACUGUGAACAGUUGAUAGGAAUCAUAUAAAUGACAUCAUUCACAGAAGCUAAAUGUUUUUGAACAGAGACAGAUCAGCAGACGCAGCACUCCCUGGGUAUUAGGGCAAGGGUUAAACAUUGUUGAUCACUGUUAUGUCCUGUAAAGAGUAUCUGUUGAGACUGUUUAAGUCUUUGUCUCUAAGCACCUUGUGUUGGUUCUCCAUGAACAAAUAGAACUGUUGGGAGUAGGCUGUUUGAUAGAGACUCCCUACUGCCUAACAUCUGUAAAUGGAGAAUAGUCCAGGAAGAAUGGCACUCCAGCUGCAAGUUACAGUAGAAGCUGGCUGCUGAGGGCAGGAUUCCUGUGUAGGAGUUCACAGCCUGUGUCAGCAGAGGAAACUUCCACUGGAAGCAAGUCAAGCCCCAAUGAACUUUACAUGACCUGGCCUAUAGUGUCUCUAGAGAGCACCAUGUCUGGUUGAUAGGACCUUUCAGAGGCUGUCAUCAAUCAGACCCAAGGAAAGAAGAACACAACCCCUACUCAGCAAAAAGUGAUGAUUGACAGACAGGAGGGCUAAACCUAUCCUUGGCUGCCAUUGGUCUUGAUGAGAAAGAAAGGUUUUUGGUGAUUAAUAUAAAGUGAGACCCACCCAGUUUGUAUACUGCACCCAUGGCUUACAGUACUUCUGGCUGCAUAGCCUGUCUAUCUUAUUUCACUAUAAAUUAGUCAAGAUGAGCUCUUGUUCUUACAGCAUUAGGCCCACUAAAAGCUUCUUCCCAAUCUUUUCUUGCUUAUACUGGGUUUUAUCAUGGCUAGAGUUAGCAGAAUUCAGAAUGCCUAUGCUGUGGCCAUAACAGAGUGGCGAAAAUGUUAAAGACUGCUGCUGCAUUGAUGGCAGCAACAGUGCAUGCAAGUAAAUAAUGACAUCCACAGGGCAACUAAGUUCAAAGGCCACAGGAAGCUGACACUGUAAAAGUCAAGCUUGGAGGAACCAAAGAUGAGGGGUUGAAGGUCCAGGUCACUGAACGGUGCUCCUGAGAGCUGCCAGAGCUUAAGGAAUGGGAUCUGAUCCUCACAGUGCAGACAGUGUUAGAGGCUGAAUCAUGACACCCAAGGCUUGGAGCAGGAACUGGCAGGCACUGAUUGAUGCUACUGCCAAGAGCUGAGGACUGUCCUAACUUCUGAGUGCUCAACCAUGGGAAAAAUCAAAACCCAGAGCAAUAAGCCUCAUAUCUGAGCAGCUAAACAUAUACCUCUGGCUGCAACACAAGAGGCUGUUUGGCAGACCUGGAGAUAUGAGCCUCAAACACCAUGCACCCAGCCCAUGGGCUUUUGGAUCUUCAGGACUGGACUGUGGACAACAUUAGAGCUACUCAUUGCCUCUAUCCAAGCCUUUUAUCCAAGCAGAACAGAAGGACCCAGCUGUCUGCUUAAUACUAAAACUAAUGCUCUAAAAUGAGAAUGGAAGCUUGGAGUACUAUGAAGAAAAAAAAGAAUAUAAUAACCCAGAAGUAAUAAAUAUAGUUUUUAAACUCUUUGAAAAUGUCCUU